This 253-nucleotide ribosomal RNA is filed under the name uncultured bacterium. RNAcentral's name for it is "partial 16S ribosomal RNA". It matches the Rfam family "Bacterial small subunit ribosomal RNA", at positions 524 to 776 of the family's 1533-position model. The record is from RNAcentral.
UACAGAGGUCUCAAGCGUUGUUCGGAUUCAUUGGGCGUAAAGGGUGUGUAGGUGGCGCCGUAAGUCGGGUGUGAAAUUUCGGAGCUUAACUCCGAAACUGCAUUCGAUACUGCGGUGCUUGAGGACUGGAGAGGAGACUGGAAUUCAUGGUGUAGCAGUGAAAUGCGUAGAGAUCAUGAGGAAGACCAGUGGCGAAGGCGGGUCUCUGGACAGUUCCUGACGCUGAGACACGAAAGCGUGGGUAGCAAACAGG